CUUGAAAUGAUUUUAAUUCAUACUGGACCAUCAAUUAUCAAUGAUAAACAAAAAAUUGUACACACUUUAUUUUAUUUACACAAGUAAAACACAUGACAUUAAGUCUACAUUAAACAUGACACACUCUAAAAAUGUCAAACAGUGUAUACUACAUGUUACAAAAACAAUGAGCUGCAUAAUAUAAGACGUUUUUAAUUUGCAUUGACCUACACUAAUCACGUGCAGUCAUCAAAGAGUCAAAUGACGAGACAAGUACAAUCAAAGCUUGGCGCAGAGACGACGCGUCUAACAAGAGAAGUUGUGAGUGCCCCAAAGCCAAUGUUUUCCUUAACACGCAAGACAUUUUUUUCAGUAUACGCAACACUUAUGCACAUUUAUCCACAAUCGCUCCGGUUACAUAAAUAAACUAAUAACAAUACAUUUUUGGUCCCUUUUUACAAACAUAACUAUAAUACAACACCAUUACCACACCAACUCUUCGACAAAACCCCACCCCUUUCCGGUUUCAGCCACUGCCUACUCUAAACCCUCACAAAUUUCCACCCACAAUUUUAACAAAACCCAGGCUCUUGAUCAUACUACUGAUACCAAUUGGAACUAUGGCGCUACAAGAUAACAGCUACAUCUCUUUCACAACUACAAUCAACAACAGAAAAUUCUUAAUACCUCAAGGCCUUCAAGUUUGCAUUCUAACGGAUUCAAUGUGUCGAGAUAUUAACGACUUUUUAAAACCUGCUCACUGCUAUGUUCACCCUGGGACCACUCUUCAACGAUCAACCAGUCAACACGUGAGGCACUUUCACAGCCUUCGCAAAAAAUCUAUUUUACUAAUCCACAUAGGGACCAAUGACAUCGCAAAUGGAGCAACGCCAACUGUCUUCCUACGAAGAAUGCAAACACUCUUAAAAACAAUCUCAGAAGUAAAUCAACGAGUGAUCUAUUUUGCAAUCAGCGCUAUAUUACCACGGAUGACAGACGACGGCGCUACAAAAUCUACAAUCAAACAGUGCAACAACAUGAUAAAACAUUGGGCUUCACAAACCAACAACAUCGUGUUUCUGAAUACCUCUAAACUUUUUCUCAAAAACGGAAAAAUUGUGAAAUCUUUCUACAGACACGAUGGACUACACUUAAAUAAAGAAGGAAAAAUAAAACUAUUCGCAUACUUUCAACAUUUCCUUUGGAAUUUUUGCCACUUCAAAACAUCGCCACAUCUUUCAUGAACUCAU
Non-coding RNA from Misgurnus anguillicaudatus (oriental weatherfish), 1229 nucleotides. The record is from RefSeq and is a predicted model, not a curated record. NCBI's taxonomy places the organism in Eukaryota, Metazoa, Chordata, Actinopteri, Cypriniformes, Cobitidae.